RNAcentral lists this unclassified non-coding RNA (230 nucleotides) under plant metagenome. RNAcentral describes it as "partial contains small subunit ribosomal RNA, internal transcribed spacer 1, and 5.8S ribosomal RNA". The record is from RNAcentral.
UCUCCGUAGGUGAACCUGCGGAGGGAUCAUUACAGAGUUCAUGCCCUCCGGGUAGAUCUCCCACCCAUUGCUAUAACUACUCUCGUUGCUUUGGCGGGCCGCUGGGCCCUGCCCGGCCGCCGGCCCCGGCUGGCGCGUGCCCGCCGGAGACCUCACAGACUCUGAAUGUUAGUGUCGUCCGAGUAACUAUACAAUCGUUAAAACUUUCAACAACGGAUCUCUUGGUUCUG